AUCCGCGCCGCGCCGCGCAUAGCCGCACAGGCUGACAGGCAGAAGGACUGACUUCCCUCUCCGGGCAUCCUCCCUGGGCUGCCGGGAGGCGGCGGCGGAGGAGGAGGAGGAGAAGGAAAGGGGGGAGAAGGCGGAGAGCAGGAACGCGAGGAGGUGGACCUGGAUCCGUUUCUCCCGGCCAGGACCCGAGCGGCCCCAGCUACCGCUACCCGCCGGCGCCGUCCGCUAUCCAUCAACCCUCCUGCGCCCACUCUCUACCCCAGGCUCUCUGCGCGUCGGGCCGGGGCCGGAGCCGCGCGGCCAGAGACGGCCUGGCCUCCUGGUGAUGCGCACGUGGCACUAAGUGUUGGUGGCCAUCGGGGACUUUGCAUCCUGGGGACGAAUCCCGAGCUUGCCAGAGACGGACGGCAAAAGCAGGUCCGGCCUCUGUUUCCCCGUGAGGAGCAGCCGCGGCCCACCGAGAUGUCCAGGCACCACAGCCGCCUC
Molecule: long non-coding RNA, 486 nt
Filed under: Sus scrofa (pig)
Lineage: Eukaryota; Metazoa; Chordata; Mammalia; Artiodactyla; Suidae
Description: lncRNA (ENSSSCG00005010103.1)
Source: RNAcentral